AGCGCAAGCUACUUAGGCGGAGUUGAAGCUAACAAUACAUUGCAUUAUAGAAUUUACGAUCAUGUUUGAGAAUUGAGUUUGAGAUGAUGUGAUCAAAUGAUAUUGGUUUAUGGGAUUAAGUUAACUUUUUUAGUGAGCUUAGUGAUGCUUCUUGGUAUAAUGUUUAUGAGUAGGCAAGUGGGCUUAAUGCAAAGAAACAGUAUCAAUAAAAGAUAUUAAUAUGUUUGAGAGACAAAUUCAUACUAGACCCCAUUUCAAUUGAAAUUUGGCUAUAUGAGCCUUUAGAAACUGAUAUUGUU
This 299-nucleotide unclassified non-coding RNA is filed under the name Hevea brasiliensis (rubber tree). Lineage: Eukaryota; Viridiplantae; Streptophyta; Magnoliopsida; Malpighiales; Euphorbiaceae. The record is from RNAcentral.